This 31-nucleotide non-coding RNA is filed under the name Mus musculus (house mouse). Lineage: Eukaryota; Metazoa; Chordata; Mammalia; Rodentia; Muridae. The record is from RNAcentral.
UGCUCACUUUUAUAUCCAUCCCUCGUCAUGU